RNAcentral lists this transfer RNA (66 nucleotides) under Staphylinidae sp. BMNH 1274248. RNAcentral describes it as "tRNA-His". Lineage: Eukaryota; Metazoa; Arthropoda; Insecta; Coleoptera; Staphylinidae. The record is from RNAcentral.
AUUUAAAUAGUUUAAUAAAAAACUUUGAUUUGUGGAAUCAAAAAUGUAAAAAUUUUACUUUAGAUA